AAACUCAUAACAUUUAAAAAAACGGAUACUUGAAAGAGAAUUGGCCAAUAAAGGUGAAAGUGCAGCAAAGGAACAAAAAGUCACAACCUGGAAGUGAAAUCCAAAUUGAACAGUAGUAGAGUCACAGAAGAAAGAGGCGCUGGAGGGAACGUGCAUCCAGCCCCGUUCCAGGGACUCACGUGUGCCGCCAGAGGAAGCUGGUGAGAGAGACUGGUCGACACAAAGGAGGAAAGAGGUUGUGAUGAGAAGCGUGAAGACACUGCGAGGAGGGGAUGCCAACAAAAACCUUCAUGUUAAAAGAUCUCUCAGAUUUCACAGCAUUGAAAUGUAAAAUUUAUACUUAAAGAAGCAUGUAAAAUAUAUAAAAUGUUGGAAAUGGAUCCAAACUUAGGAAGGACUGUGACAAUUCACCCAGGCAGAGAAAGAUGCUCAUUCCAGAGCAUGUUAUAUAAUGAGAAGAGACAAGCACCGUUCAAAUUACCACUAACUUCUCUACAAACACUUCAGUUCUCAACGCUUCUGUUUUAAAUUACAGUGUAGUAAGUAUUUUCUCUUUUUCAGCAAAGUUGCUUCUACGGCCAGUUAGCCGUACAGUGACAACGUCUGAGGCAAAGAUUCUUACAGCGAAAAUCCUGGACACAGUUACCGACAUCUGGUGGGAAGAAGCCAGGAAGGUGCUGGACACCCUACAAAGCACGAGAUCGCCUCCCACGACCAAAAGCACCUGGCCCAAAACGACAGCCGUGAGAAACUCAGUUCUCAAGUGACAAGGCAGCUGGGUGGUGACCUUGGUCCGCGGUGGUGCUGGGGAGCUGACACAGAGGACUACAUAGAACUUCCGCAGGUGACGGAAACGUUAGUUAUCUUAACUUUGGUGGUGGUCUCGUGAGUGUAUACAUCUGUCAAACUGGACACUUAAAAUGGGUGCAGUUUAUUUCAUGUAAAUUUUACCUCACUAAAGUUGAUUCACAAACUGAAAUCAUUGGACGACUAGAAGGAAACAUAGCAGAUAUUCAUAAUAAGCUCAAACUAGGGGGCACCUUUUUAGAAGGCAUUAAAAGGCAUU
This 1066-nucleotide long non-coding RNA is filed under the name Equus caballus (horse). RNAcentral's name for it is "lncRNA (ENSECAG00000057102.1)". The record is from RNAcentral. Lineage: Eukaryota; Metazoa; Chordata; Mammalia; Perissodactyla; Equidae.